This 468-nucleotide ribosomal RNA is filed under the name uncultured bacterium. RNAcentral describes it as "partial 16S ribosomal RNA". It matches the Rfam family "Bacterial small subunit ribosomal RNA", at positions 28 to 507 of the family's 1533-position model. The record is from RNAcentral.
GACGAACGCUGGCGGCGUGCUUAACACAUGCAAGUCGAACGGAAAGGCCCUGCUUUUGUGGGUUGCUCGAGUGGCGAACGGGUGAGUAACACGUGAGUAACCUGCCCUUGACUUUGGGAUAACUUCAGGAAACUGGGGCUAAUACCGGAUAGGAGCUCCUGCUGCAUGGUGGGGGUUGGAAAGUUUCGGCGGUUGGGGAUGGACUCGCGGCUUAUCAGCUUGUUGGUGGGGUAGUGGCUUACCAAGUCUUUGACGGGUAGCCGGCCUGAGAGGGUGACCGGCCACAUUGGGACUGAGAGACGGCCCAGACUCCUACGGGAGGCAGCAGUGGGGAAUAUUGCACAAUGGGCGGAAGCCUGAUGCAGCAACGCCGCGUGCGGGAUGACGGCCUUCGGGUUGUAAACCGCUGUCGCCUGUGACGAAGCGUGAGUGACGGUAAUGGGUAAAGAAGCACCGGCUAACUACGUG